CAAUAGUGUAUAUUAAAGUUGUUGCAGUUAAAAAGCUCGUAGUUGAAUGUUGGUGUCGAACGAGCGGUCAGCUUCGGCUGUACUGCUCUCUCGACUCCUUCCUUCUGUGGACUACGUCGCACUUUACUGUGUGGCGCUAGGACGCAGAUCGUUUACUGUGAAAAAAUUAGAGUGUUCAAAGCAGGCCGUACGCUUGAAUACAUUAGCAUGGAAUAAUGGAAUAGGACGUCGGGCCUAUUUUGUUGGUUCUAGGACCGUCGUAAUGAUUAAUAGGGACAGUUGGGGCCGUUUAUAUUCCGUAGUCAGAGGUGAAAUUCUUGGAUUUACGGAAGAUAAACUACUGCGAAAGCAUUCGGCAAGGAUGUUUUCGUUAA
RNAcentral lists this ribosomal RNA (374 nucleotides) under uncultured eukaryote. RNAcentral's name for it is "partial 18S ribosomal RNA". It matches the Rfam family "Eukaryotic small subunit ribosomal RNA", at positions 592 to 976 of the family's 1831-position model. The record is from RNAcentral.